CUCUGCUACUCUUCAGUCCUGUUUCUAAACAAGUUUUCUGAUCUUGUUUUUCUCCCCUGCCUUGUAGGUCAACCUUCUACUGAAGGAAGCCGUGGAAUCUUUCUGGUCUCCUGUUUCACUCGUGUCAUGUUCAGAGGAGUUUGGAAACUCCAGCCUCGACGCCCCAGCCCUGAGCCUCCACUCUGCUUCCAACUCCAAGCCCAGCUUCUCAAGAGCCACCUCAACCUAACCAUCCACCCUCCAACGUUAUCUCUCCAACUUCUGUGGAGCUUCCCAGAAGAAAAGGAAACACAAGCAAAGGAACACAGCAAUUCCCCUCACAAAACUGUGCACACCCUGUGAGCCUCAAGUCACCAUGGAAAAGGACUUAUUCCCCCCAGCCUUACCAAGACCUCAACAUAAGAGAUCCCGAUUUUGCCCGCUGCUCCAAUCCAGGUUCCCGUCCAACCAUACAGAACUGAUUGUUAAUAAACGGUUUAAAACAUUG
Long non-coding RNA from Girardinichthys multiradiatus, 487 nucleotides. RefSeq lists it as uncharacterized. Lineage: Eukaryota; Metazoa; Chordata; Actinopteri; Cyprinodontiformes; Goodeidae. The record is from RefSeq and is a predicted model, not a curated record. The transcript has 2 exons.